GACGAACGCUGGCGGCGUGCUUAACACAUGCAAGUCGAGCGGUAAGGCCCUUUCGGGGGUACACGAGCGGCGAACGGGUGAGUAACACGUGGGUGACCUGCCCUCAGCUCUGGGAUAAGCCUGGGAAACCGGGUCUAAUACUAGAUAUGACUCCAUGACGCAUGUUGUGGGGUGGAAAGCCUUGUGCGGCUGAGGAUGGGGCCCGCGGCCUACCAGCUUGUUGGUGGGGUGAUGGCCUACCAAGGCGACGACGGGUAGCCGGCCUGAGAGGGCGACCGGCCACACUGGGACUGAGACACGGCCCAGACUCCUACGGGCGGCAGCAGUGGGGAAUCUUGCGCAAUGGGCGAAAGCCUGACGCAGCGACGCCGCGUGAGGGAUGACGG
This 386-nucleotide ribosomal RNA is filed under the name uncultured bacterium. Its description in RNAcentral is "bacterial SSU rRNA". It matches the Rfam family "Bacterial small subunit ribosomal RNA", at positions 28 to 414 of the family's 1533-position model. The record is from RNAcentral.